This 253-nucleotide ribosomal RNA is filed under the name uncultured bacterium. Its description in RNAcentral is "partial 16S ribosomal RNA". It matches the Rfam family "Bacterial small subunit ribosomal RNA", at positions 524 to 776 of the family's 1533-position model. The record is from RNAcentral.
UACGGGGGGGGCAAGCGUUGUUCGGAAUUACUGGGCGUAAAGGGCUCGUAGGUGGCCAACUAAGUCAGACGUGAAAUCCCUCGGCUUAACCGGGGAACUGCAUCUGAUACUGGAUGGCUUGAGUUUGGGAGAGGGAUGCGGAAUUCCUGGUGUAGCGGUGGAAUGCGCAGAUAUCAGGAGGAACACCAACGGCGAAGGCAGCUCGCUAGGACGGUACUGACGCUGAGACGCGAAAGCGUGGGGAGCAAACAGG